RNAcentral lists this long non-coding RNA (1583 nucleotides) under Sus scrofa (pig). Its description in RNAcentral is "lncRNA (ENSSSCG00030049032.1)". Lineage: Eukaryota; Metazoa; Chordata; Mammalia; Artiodactyla; Suidae. The record is from RNAcentral.
GGCCCGCCGUCCUCCGUGGGCGGGGGAGGGAAGCAGGUGGAUGAUCCGACUCCAGCCGUCAAGGCCCCCUGACCUGUUCUGCCCUCCUCUUGCCGUGACUUACGCUUGGAAAGGAACUAGCAUUUCUGGUUGGGCGUGUUUUAUUUAUAGUGCAAGAACAUCCACCGCAUUCCCCACAAAGUGGGCCGAUGUAGCUACCAGCCUCUCGGGCCAGCCGGAGCCCAUCGGCAGGUCCCACGGAGCAGGAGCCCCCCCGUCGCGAGCCGUUCGCAGCCCGGGACCAGAAAGGACGGGGACGCCCGCAGCCGAGAUGGGUGUUUAUGCGGAUGGGCUCAGGCACCAGGGGCACCUCGCUCUCUGGGAGUUUCCUCCAACCACGUCUCGCGUUCAGGUGCCCGGAAAGCGCAGGUUAUUUCUGCCUGGACGUUGGCGGGAACCAGCCUGUGGGCAGAUCCAUCCGGUGGAGACUUUUGUAAAGGCACACCUUCCUGAGACCAUUGGACAGAUGCAGCUUCAGGACACCUCUGACUCACAACCGAAGGUGAGGCGGGUUCUGCACAUCACCACCGCCCAGAACCUCUGAAGUGUCAGAUUUGUGACUAAUUCGUUCUGUUAAAAGAUGCAGCCCAGUGGGCACCCUCCAGUGAUACCGCUGCAGUGCAUCCUGGUGUUUCUUGGGGAGGGGGGGCGGAGCCAGAGCUAUGCUUGGGGCACCAGGAUCCCAGGGGCAGUGUUGGGGGGAGGGGGCCUCCCUCUGCCUCUCCUGGAGGGCCUGGGCUUCCAGCCGGUGGUCUUGGGGGCGCGCAGAAUGCAGCCUACCUCCCACCACCCGUCCUCAGGUCUCCUGAACUCAGGGGCGCAGAAAACCCCUACCACGCAGGAGUGCCAGGACCCCAGCCUUCUCUCCUCGGGAGUUACUGUGACGGAAAAAAAUGCGCAACCUAGAAGUUGGGAGAUGUGUGUUAUUCAGCAGACAAAACCGAGGACUUAAGCCGGGACACAAGGGGUCAGAGAAUUCUGAGAAACUGCAUCAAAGAGGCCAGGAGUCUUUGCCACAAAGACCAGGCGAAAGAACAUCAAAGAUGGCUGUUGACUGAAGAAAACCAGACGUCCCAAACGAGGGAGCCGAGCGCCCUUCUAGGCCUGGGGAGAUGCCAGAGGCUGGGGCGUGGAAGCCAGGCCUUCGCUGUGCACCUCAGCUCCCUGAGUGUCCUGAGUUUUCUCACCCCGAGUUUCCUUAGGCUGCACCUUCGGGGGCGGGGGGUUGGCUGCAGGGCGGGCUCGUCUCCUCCCUGAGUUCCCCGGGGGCCCGUCCCUCCUCCGUUCCGGGUGGGAGGCUGGGAUGAGUGGGCUUGACGGCGGCAGCCUCCUCUGUUUACCGAUACGGCAGCAGCCUGGUUCACUCGCAUCGCUGACUCCCCGGGCACGGCUUUCUCACUGGUGUCACGGGCAGUGGUGGGUCUACUUGACCAGUGACCCUUGGACAGGGCCCCUAAACCACGUCUGGCCCAGUGUGCAAAUGGCUGAACCCAACUCUCAGACCUGCCCAACUUUUUGGCUUUCCUUUUUUCCAAAUUUCAGGG